RNAcentral lists this ribosomal RNA (143 nucleotides) under uncultured eukaryote. RNAcentral describes it as "partial 18S ribosomal RNA". It matches the Rfam family "Eukaryotic small subunit ribosomal RNA", at positions 1299 to 1458 of the family's 1831-position model. The record is from RNAcentral.
UGGUGGAGUGAUUUGUCUGGUUAAUUCCGUUAACGAACGAGACCUCGACCUGCUAAAUAGUCAGGCGUACCCACCUGGGUACGUGCUGUGACUUCUUAGAGGGACUGUCGGUUUGUAGCCGAAGGAAGAUCGAGGCAAUAACA